UACGUAGGGGGCAAGCGUUAACCGGAAUUAUUGGGCGUAAAGCGCGCGUAGGCGGUUUUUAAAGUCGGAUGUGAAAGCCCCCGGCUCAACCGUGGAGGUUCAUUGGAAACUGGAAGACUUGAGUGCUGAAGAGGAAAGUGGAAUUCCAUGUGUAGCGGUGAAAUGCGUAGAGAUCUGGAGGAAUACCAGUGGCGAAGGCGACGGCCUGGAC
Molecule: ribosomal RNA, 211 nt
Filed under: uncultured bacterium
Lineage: Bacteria
Description: partial 16S ribosomal RNA
Rfam family: Bacterial small subunit ribosomal RNA
Source: RNAcentral